RNA transcript from Carassius gibelio (silver crucian carp), 2548 nucleotides. It is a transcript of the gene named C-type mannose receptor 2-like, with no coding region annotated. NCBI's taxonomy places the organism in Eukaryota, Metazoa, Chordata, Actinopteri, Cypriniformes, Cyprinidae. The transcript has 6 exons. The record is from RefSeq and is a predicted model, not a curated record.
UGAUUUAUAAGUGUUUUGAAAAAUGGGGACAUGGGUUAUGUCCUCAUAAGUCACCCUCUCCUUGUAAUACCUGUGUCAUACCCAUGUCAUUAUACAGAGUUGUGUCCUGAUAUGAUACACACACACACACACACACACACACACACUGUUGACUCUGGGCAAUAAAGAAAGAACAAUAAAGAACUAAGGGAGAAGGGAGUUUUCUGUCCAGGAAAAGCAAAGCUGGGAGGAGCAGAAGAGGAGAAAUGAUCGUGAUAUCAGUCUGUCCUGAUAAAAGAAGAAACACAAUCACUCCUGAAUCACAGCAUCUACAGAAAUGGAGAGAAUCACAUGUAUGUCUCUUCUGCUCACAGCUGUGGUCAGUUCUUCUGCACGAGCUCCGCGUCAGUAUCACUUUGUGAAUCAGAACCUGAACUGGACUGAAGCUCAGAGUUACUGCAGAGAGAAAUACACAGAUCUGGUCACUAUCAGUGACAUACAAGAACAGAAUGACACUGAACAGACCAUAAAGAGAGUGAACAGCAAUGCUGACCGUGUCUGGAUUGGACUGAAGAACACAAGAGUUGGUUUCUGGAGUGACCCUGCCUUCUACACAGAACAGUACAGGAACUGGGGACCAUCACAACCAGGAGGAGAUGGAGACUGUGUUUUCUUGGGUUGUGGGAAUGAUCAGAGUUGUGGGAAUGAGCCUAAAGUACAGUGGCAUGAUGUAGACUGUAAUACAACAAGGCAUUUCAUCUGCUAUGAUGCCAGUAAAGGAUUCAUCAUUGUACAGGAGCAAAAGAACUGGACUGAAGCUCAGAAAUACUGCAGAGAGAACCACACAGAUCUGGCCAGCGUGAGGAAUCAGACUGAGAAUGAAGAGAUUCAGAAGAUCAUAGACCAAAACAGAACUUCAAGUGAUCAAGAUAAACAAGUCUGGAUCGGUCUGCACAGACUCUGGGUUUGGUCAGAUAACAGCAGCUCCACAUUCACACACUGGAAACACAGUUCUGAUAACACACGUAAGAACUGCACAUUGAUUGUUAUCAGUGAUGAAGGACGAUGGACAGACGAGGAGUGUUCAGAAGAGCAUCCCUUUGUGUGUUAUGAUGAGAAGCUGGUUCUGGUCCGAGAGAAUAAGACGUGGACUGAAGCUCUGAGACGCUGCAGAAACAUGGACAUGGACCUGGUGUUGGUGGAUUCGGAGCAGAUGCAGCAGCGGGUGAUGAAUGUGACCUCGAGUGCCUCCUCUGAUCACGUGUGGCUGGGUCUGCGUCACUCCUGCACAAUGGGGAUCUGGUUCUGGGUCAACGGUCAGACCAUGUGCUACGAUCAGUGGGCUUCUGAUUUUGACAGCGGACUGGACGAAUGUGAUAAGACGGUGAGAUCCGGAGCCAUUCGGACCCAUGAUAAUCACUGGAUCAGCCUUCCUGAAACUGAAGAAAUCAACUUCAUCUGCACCAAGUACAUGUGAUCCAGAUUACACAAUCAGAUUACUAAUAUUCAUGCAUAUAAAAUACGGUAUAAAUAUAAAAUGCCAAAAAUACAAUUCCUGGUUACUUUUAAUCGAUGACAAAUUAACAAAAUGAAACUAAAUUGUUCAAGUAAUCAGAAAGUACUCAGAAUACAUUACUUAAAAUUUUUAUUUGUGUCUAGUUUUCGUAAAGCAAUUUGUAACCAGUAACAGAUAUAAUAUAAUAUAAUAUAAUAUAAUAUAAUAUAAUAUAAUAUAAUAUAAUAUAAUAUAAUAUAAUAUAAUAUAAUAUAAUAUACCCUCUGUGUGUCAGUCAAAUAACAGAUUAUGAAGAUUCAUUCAAGCCAUUUGGGCUCAAUUCAAGUAGAAUCAGUUCAGUUCCAGUUAAUCAGUAAAGCAAUUUUUCAUAAUAUCUGUUCACAGAACAUGUAUAUUUCAUCGUUAGAUUUGGGAAGUUUUCUGUUCACAGACUCAAAUGAUCUCCAUUUAAAGUCUUUUCAUGUCUAUUUGAACUUCUGUCAUGUUUUCAUUUGUUUAAGGUCAGUUACUGUAUAUGAUUCAGUUUCAUGACUCAUGAGGAGAUGGGGACAAACAUUUAUGUGGGUUUCGUUUUUUCAGUUUGCUUUAUUAUUGUGUUUUAUUGCGUAAUAUUUAGUACUAAGCACUUACAUUUACUUUUCUGGAACUGAUAUGUUCCGCAAACUCCAUCUAAAAUAAAUAUUUUCUGUAUUUUAUCCUCUGUUUUAGCUAGUUUCCUAAAUGGACAAUAUAUGGAAGAUGCUUUUAUAUAUUUGUCAUGUUUAGUUUUAUUUUCAUGGACUUUUAGUUUGCAUCUCAUUGUUUCCUUGGUCGUCAUGGUUUCUAAGUAUGUGCUCAUUUGUAACCAUAGUUACUGAUUAUGUUGCCCACCUGUGUCUUAUUUCUUUCUUUCAUGAUGUGUAUUUAUACUCCUCACACUCUGCAUUAUUGACUGUUAACAUUGUUGGCUCAAUAACAAAUUGUGUGUGAUGUUGUUUUGUGUAAAAUUAUCUACAAUGAAUAUAUGUAAGAAUAAACAUAUAAACGUAAUUAUAUUAUAAAAGGAUAAAUAUU